AUGUCCCUGCUGCUGAACAACCCGGACGCGAUGGCGAGGGCUCGCGGCGAGAUCGACGCGUGCGUGGGGCAGCCGGCGCGGCUGCUGGAGGCGGCCGACCUCCCCAAGCUGCACUACCUCCGGUGCGUCAUCAUGGAGACGCUCCGGCUGGGCCCCGGCGAGGGCUCGCGGCGAGAUCGACGCGUGCGUGGGGCAGCCGGCGCGGCUGCUGGAGGCGGCCGACCUCCCCAAGCUGCACUACCUCCGGUGCGUCAUCAUGGAGACGCUCCGGCUGUACCCGCCGGUGCCGCUCCUCGCGCCGCACGAAUCGUCCACCGACUGCGACGUCGCCGGCUUCCAC
This 340-nucleotide long non-coding RNA is filed under the name Oryza brachyantha (malo sina). RNAcentral's name for it is "long non-coding RNA (OBRA_LNC000488)". Lineage: Eukaryota; Viridiplantae; Streptophyta; Magnoliopsida; Poales; Poaceae. The record is from RNAcentral.